RNAcentral lists this long non-coding RNA (207 nucleotides) under Nicotiana benthamiana. Its description in RNAcentral is "long non-coding RNA (NBEN_LNC021722)". Lineage: Eukaryota; Viridiplantae; Streptophyta; Magnoliopsida; Solanales; Solanaceae. The record is from RNAcentral.
GAGGUAUUGGGGAGAGGUGAUUAAGCAUGACAUGACUAGAAUGCGGGUUUCUGAGGACAUGACCCUUGAUAGGAAAGUCUGGAGGUCUAGUAUCAGGGUAGUAGGAUAGGGGCCCCUAGAGUUUUCCGUACUCCUCACCCGGGGUUGAGUGAGGCUUGGCAGGGCUAUCCAUAGAUGAUUUGUGUAUUGGAUUGUGUCUCCCUUAUU